Molecule: ribosomal RNA, 497 nt
Filed under: uncultured bacterium
Lineage: Bacteria
Description: partial 16S ribosomal RNA
Rfam family: Bacterial small subunit ribosomal RNA
Source: RNAcentral
GAUGAACGCUGGCGGCGUGCCUAAUACAUGCAAGUCGAGCGAACAGACGAGGAGCUUGCUCCUCUGACGUUAGCGGCGGACGGGUGAGUAACACGUGUAUAACCUACCUAUAAGACUGGGAUAACUUCGGGAAACCGGAGCUAAUACCGGAUAAUAUAUUGAACCGCAUGGUUCAAUAGUGAAAGACGGUUUUGCUGUCACUUAUAGAUGGAUCCGCGCCGCAUUAGCUAGUUGGUACGGUAACGGCUUACCAAGGCGACGAUGCGUAGCCGACCUGAGAGGGUGAUCGGCCACCCUGGAACUGAGACACGGUCCAGACUCCUACGGGAGGCAGCAGUAGGGAAUCUUCCGCAAUGGGCGAAAGCCUGACGGAGCAACGCCGCGUGAGUGAUGAAGGUCUUCGGAUCGUAAAACUCUGUUAUUAGGGAAGAACAAAUGUGUAAGUAACUAUGCACGUAUUGACGGUACCUAAUCAGAAAGCCACGGCUAACUACGUG